Molecule: ribosomal RNA, 262 nt
Filed under: uncultured bacterium
Lineage: Bacteria
Description: partial 16S ribosomal RNA
Rfam family: Bacterial small subunit ribosomal RNA
Source: RNAcentral
GAGUGGCGAACGGCUGAGUAACACGUGGAGAACCUGCCCCCUCCCCCGGGAUAGCCGCCCGAAAGGACGGGUAAUACCGGAUACCCCGGGCCGCCGCAUGGCGCCCGGGCUAAAGCCCCGACGGGAGGGGGAUGGCUCCGCGGCCCAUCAGGUAGACGGCGGGGUGACGGCCCACCGUGCCGACAACGGGUAGCCGGGUUGAGAGACCGACCGGCCAGAUUGGGACUGAGACACGGCCCAGACUCCUACGGGAGGCAGCAUG